GCGACGGGCAGGGGCAGCGACCGGCGGCGACCGCCUCUCCGGCGACCUGCGGCCUGCGGCCACGCCGGCCAGGCCACGCCCAACCUCGCGCCCUCGCAGUCGCAGCUACUGCCAGUGUUGAAAGGGUAUUCUCCUCCAUGAAUUAUGUGAAGAAUAAGCUAAGAAACAAGAUGGGUGAUGAUUACUUAAACAAUUGCAUGGUUACAUUUGUUGAGAGAGAAUUAUUCAAUCAAGUGAAGGAUGAGGAUGUCAUCAAUCUCUUCCAAAAGGGUGCCCGCAAAGUUAUAUUGUAAGAGGUACUUCCUCUUUCCAUUGAAAUUUGUUGUUGUACUUCGAUUUGUAUGGAUUUAAGAACUUUAGUAUUAUGUAUUGUACUGGAAUAAUUGUUAUAGUUCUACUGAAAUUAUUGUCCAA
Lolium rigidum is the source of this 414-nucleotide long non-coding RNA. RefSeq lists it as uncharacterized. The record is from RefSeq and is a predicted model, not a curated record. Lineage: Eukaryota; Viridiplantae; Streptophyta; Magnoliopsida; Poales; Poaceae. The transcript is spliced from 2 exons.